UUGAACAUAGUAAGGCAGUAUUUCAUAGAAAUAUCUUGCUAUUUUUUUACAUAUAUACUUUAAAAAGUAGGCAUUUAUACUACAAGGCACAGCAUAUUCUUUUUGCUCAAGUGUUUUCCUGGUAUGCAAAGUUUGAGUUGUACAAGUUUGAGUAAGUGACAGACAGUUCUUGAUUUUAAAAGUGUGUGUCAAAUUUUUUAAAGAAUGCUCCCAAAAUAAGUGCUUCAGGACCUAGCAUUGGGUGAGGGGGCUGUAGGAUAAUUUAGUUGCCUUCAUUUCACAGUCACUAUGAGUUUUUAAAUUGGAGGGCAGAAGCAAGACAAGUGCAUUUUGUAAUUCACAUAAAAAUAGUUCCAUAACACAUUGUUAUCAUUACGAAGAGGAGAAUGUUCAUUCUGCCUUCACUUUAUGCCAUAUGGGUAGAAUGGAGAUAAUUCUGCUGGACAGAAUUAUAUUUUGAAGCAAAUACAUGCUUGUAGGGUGCCUCCAUUUCAUUUGGAGCUGAGGAAAAUUUCAUGAGGGUUCUUUAGUUUUCUAUGGGAGAGUUUCUACCAGCGAUGUCACAACACAGCUAGAUUAAGUUGAUACGUAAUAUCUAUUUCUUGAUUUGCAUGAUUAAAGCAUUAGAGAAGUGGCUCAGAUAUCAAAAGGUUUCUCAUAAGUGGCAGCGCCAAAGGUAAUUACUGUUAAAAUGUACAUGCUCGAAACCUGGUUGCUUGUUAACUUCUAAGUUGUUUACAACUCUGUGGGUUUGAAUAAACGUUUUUAUUUGACUUUUCAAUAGCAAGACCCCUUUCUUGCUCCAUUUCGAUAUAAAAAAUGAUACCAUUCUUAUAUCCCAUGUCCCUCAAGGCAACCUUAGCUUCAACCAAAAAAAGUGAUAGAGGACAGAGAUGGCCCUUCUCAGUAUUUCAUAUUUUAAAAUAACUGUUUCUUAAACAAAAGUAGUCUUUUAAAGACAAAGUUAAAAUUUAUACCUAAAAAAAUUAAAAAUUAAUCGAGUCAACCAAUUAUUUCCAGUUAGUUAUCAAAAAGUGUAGCUAAAGCCCUACUGUAAGCCUGAGGGAGUUAUGAGGGGGGUGGGGAGAGAGAGGAAAAGAGAGAGGGAAGGAGAAGAGAGGUUGUUAUUCUCAGUCUUUUAUUAACCAGUUUCUUUCAUCCUAGUGUGUCUUUAUUAUUUAGAAAAAUAAAAAUCAUCCAGAGCUCUACCCAUUCCCACCUAAAAUUCUGGAGUAGGUAGUGACUGUCUACAACCUGGUACAACAUAUGCCCCCAAACUAAAACAAACAAACUCAUUUGCCAUACAAAUUGUUUACGAUUCAUUAAAAAGCAAAAUUGCAUAUCCCGUCGCUGGCAGCUGAGGCCGUGUCUCCACGGGCGGAGGGGGCAUUCACUGAGUUGCCUUUGUAUGCUGGGAGGACCAAGCCGGAGGUUCCCACUAUGAGCCCGGAGUCUGUGCAGCCAGAUGACGCAUGAGGACUGCUUCUGGCCACAGGAUAUGCCUGGUCCAGGAAAUGGCCACAUUUCCUCCCUCAGGACCUCUGCUUGUAUGGGCUGUCUUGGAAAUAAGGUCCUCCACAAUCUCAUCUACAACUGUGGCACCUGAAUAAGCUGGAGUCUUUCCCUUCCUCUGGGCUUCUACACACGCCAUUCCUUAUUUCCAGAUACUUUCUUUUUUCAUGGUGGCCAUGGGAGAACCUCGUCCUUCUGUGAGAUUCUGCCUCAUCUGACACUCCUUAUACUGGAUUGGAAACCCGUUCAAUCUGACAUUUGCUGAGGAAUGGAGAAGGACCAAUGGUGAUUUCUCCAGGCUCACUCCUGUGCCCCUCCUUGCAUUGCAAGUGCUUUACAAGUCUUCCUGAUAGACCAGGAGCAUCCUGAGGUCUAGUAUCAAAUGUAACUCAUCUCCUAUCCUCAGGGCCUAGUACAGGAUGCUGGAUGUAGGAGGAGUUCAGUAAGUAUAUGCUAUAUAAAUGACAAAUGAAUGAGUGAAUAAAUAAGUAAAGGAAUGACUUGAUUCUUCCUCUACCACCAAUUCAGAAGACUUGGCUGAAAGGGUGGGAGAGGGAAUUAGGAUUCUGUAAAGAAGACCAUGAUUGAGUUUUGAGGAAAAAAUAAAAACUUCAAACAAAGAA
Macaca mulatta (Rhesus monkey) is the source of this 2135-nucleotide non-coding RNA. Lineage: Eukaryota; Metazoa; Chordata; Mammalia; Primates; Cercopithecidae. The record is from RefSeq and is a predicted model, not a curated record.